RNAcentral lists this long non-coding RNA (791 nucleotides) under Phoenix dactylifera (date palm). RNAcentral's name for it is "long non-coding RNA (PDAC_LNC012155)". The record is from RNAcentral. Lineage: Eukaryota; Viridiplantae; Streptophyta; Magnoliopsida; Arecales; Arecaceae.
CAAUGAGACCUAAACUAAAACCUCCUCAAUCAAGUCGAGAGUGAACCAACAUGAGCAAGUCAUAUUAGAUUAAUUGAUCUAAUUAGUGUCUAGGAAAGCAUGAAAGGUGGUUACUUAAUUAGGACCUUACUCUCUGAGUAAGGGGAGCCUCCCACCUGCUUACCUGGCAAAUUGUUCGAUUACCUCUUAUGAAGAGCUCAAGUUGCAAACACUAAGACCUGAUUAACCGAUAUUAAGUCCAUAGGUCUUCCACUGUAGUAGAGCUGCUAAGGUCUUUCUGAUGUUGAUUUGUCUCGGCUGGACACAGUGGGCAAGUUGCAUCGGGGGGCUGGACCUCUCUAUAGACAUGAGAUGUUGUAGGAUAAAGGUGGGGUUGGGCACCAAUAACUGUUAGGUGAGGACCCAAUGACGACUUUAUUUCUACGGUUAUACGGUGGGUCUGACUUAACUAAGGAAUGGGACCAAUAACUGUUAGGUGAGGUCUUCAUGACUUAGAGACCAAGUAGCACUGCAACAUGCUUAAGAAGCAUUGUACAAGAGUUGUACACUCAUCUGUUUAUGUGUCACCAAUAACUGUUAGGUGAGGUGGCAUGUAAAUCGGUGGGACCGCAGUACCCACUAGAAACUCUAGUCGUGUAGGAUUUCCGUUUUCCUACCAGGGGAGUGUGAGGAAUUCGAGAAAAUAGUGGGAGGUACAUUUGUUCUAAAAGUUCUUAGAACAUAUUAAGAAUCAAGUACAAAAGUCUAACUAGAAUCUUUACUCUCUGCAGAUCAUAAUGUCAGCCUCAAAC